RNAcentral lists this ribosomal RNA (523 nucleotides) under Cryptosporidium muris. RNAcentral describes it as "SSU rRNA". It matches the Rfam family "Eukaryotic small subunit ribosomal RNA", at positions 487 to 1041 of the family's 1831-position model. Lineage: Eukaryota; Apicomplexa; Conoidasida; Eucoccidiorida; Cryptosporidiidae. The record is from RNAcentral.
AGGGCCUAAGGGUCUUGUAAUUGGAAUGAGUGAAGUAUAAACCCCUUUACAAGUAUCAAUUGGAGGGCAAGUCUGGUGCCAGCAGCCGCGGUAAUUCCAGCUCCAAUAGCGUAUAUUAAAGUUGUUGCAGUUAAAAAGCUCGUAGUUGGAUUUCUGUUGUAUAAUCUAUAAAAUUACUAAGGUAUAUAUUAUAUUAUCAACAUCCUUCCUAUUAUAUUUAAAUAUAUAUAGGAAACUUUACUUUGAGAAAAUUAGAGUGCUUAAAGCAGGCAACUGCCUUGAAUACUCCAGCAUGGAAUAAUAAGUAAGGACUUUUGUCUUUCUUAUUGGUUCUAGGACAAAAGUAAUGGUUAAUAGGGACAGUUGGGGGCAUUCGUAUUUAACAGCCAGAGGUGAAAUUCUUAGAUUUGUUAAAGACGAACUACUGCGAAAGCAUUUGCCAAGGAUGUUUUCAUUAAUCAAGAACGAAAGUUAGGGGAUCGAAGACGAUCAGAUACCGUCGUAGUCUUAACCAUAAACUAUG